UCUCUAUGCGGUGCCAGCAGCCGCGGUAAUACAGAGGUGCAAGCGUUAAUCGGAAUUACUGGGCGUAAAGCGCGCGUAGGUGGUUCGUUAAGUUUGGAUGUGAAAUCCCCGGGCUCAACCUGGGAACUGCAUUCAAAACUGUACGAGCUAGAGUAUGGUAGAGGGUGGUGGAAUUUCCUGUGUAGCGGUGAAAUGCGUAGAAUAUAGGAAGGAACACAGUGGCGAAGGCGACCACCUGGACUGAUACUGACACUGAAGGUG
This 261-nucleotide ribosomal RNA is filed under the name uncultured bacterium. RNAcentral describes it as "partial 16S ribosomal RNA". It matches the Rfam family "Bacterial small subunit ribosomal RNA", at positions 495 to 753 of the family's 1533-position model. The record is from RNAcentral.